RNAcentral lists this ribosomal RNA (468 nucleotides) under uncultured bacterium. Its description in RNAcentral is "partial 16S ribosomal RNA". It matches the Rfam family "Bacterial small subunit ribosomal RNA", at positions 28 to 507 of the family's 1533-position model. The record is from RNAcentral.
GACGAACGCUGGCGGCGUGCUUAACACAUGCAAGUCGAACGGAAAGGCCCUGCUUUUGUGGGGUGCUCGAGUGGCGAACGGGUGAGUAACACGUGAGUAACCUUCCCUUUACUUUGGGAUAACUUCAGGAAACUGGUGCUAAUACCUGAUAGGAGCUCCUGCUGCAUGGUGGGGGUCGGAAAGUUUCGGCGGUUGGGGCUGGACUCGCGGGUUAUCAGCUUGUUGGUGGGGUAGUGGCUUACCCAGGCUUUGACGGGUAGCCGGCCUGAGAGGGUGACCGGCCACAUUGGGACUGAGAUACGGACCAGACUCCUACGGGAGGCAGCAGGGGGGAGUAUUGCACAAUGGGCGGAAGCCUGAUGCAGAAACGCCGCGUGCGGGAUGACGGCCUUCGGGUGGUAAACCGCUUUCGCCUGUGACGAAGCGUGAGUGACGGUAAUGGGUAAAGAAGCACCGGCUAACUACGUG